RNAcentral lists this unclassified non-coding RNA (240 nucleotides) under soil metagenome. Its description in RNAcentral is "partial contains 5.8S ribosomal RNA, internal transcribed spacer 2, and large subunit ribosomal RNA". The record is from RNAcentral.
AACAAGGCGUACCUGCGGACCUGCGGAGGGAUCAUUACAGAGUUGCAAAACUCCCUAAACCAUUGUGAACGUUACCUAAACCGUUGCUUCGGCGGGCGGCCCGGGUCCUUCCCGGCGCCCCUCGGCCCUCGCGGGCGCCCGCCGGAGGUAAACCAAACUAUUGCAUUGUAUGGCCUCUCUGAGUCUUCUGUACUGAAUAAGUCAAAACUUUUAACAACGGAUCUCAGAUCGGAAGAGCAC